GGCAGCUAAAGAAAAAAAAACUAAAGAUAUAUUAUUAUUGAGGAAAGGCUGCCAUCUCUAUUAUUAUUGGGGGAUUCAAGAAGGCGAUAGGUUCAAGCUUCAAAGCCACGAUUCAAGAUUCACGUCCGGGUUUGCAAUUUAUUAGUAUUCAGUUUGUUAAGACUUUGAGUUUUUAGAUUUGAUACUAUGAUUUAUUAUUCGGUUCAGACUUGUUUCUUUUUAUUUGUUAUGUUUCUUGGCUAGUUCUUUUAUACUGCCUAGGUUAUGAUGAACACCAUGUUUGUCUAAUUAUUCUAUUCGAUUUAUGGAUUCUAUUUUGUGGAUUUAAUAAUUAAAGUAAAGACUUGGCUUUUAUGGUUUGACGUAUAUGCGUAUUUAAUCUUGUUCAUUGAAUAUUUAUUAUCCCUCAUGUUGCUAGUUGAAUGUCUUUCAAAUAAUAGUUGCAUGCUAGGUCAAUUACUAUGUGUUCUUGACUAUUAGAUGUUUCGCUAGACGUAAUGAACCAUAUGGAUAUAAUUGUAAUUUGAAUAGGGUUAAGUAUUCUACAAUCUUAAUAGGUGAGAGGUGAGAGGUUGUCAGUAUGUCUUUAGUGUUAGAUUGCUAGGGUUAUAAACUUUGAGAGAAGAUCCCCUUAGUUACCCUUUCACUAUUUGCUUAUCGAGUUUGAUCAUAAUUCAAUAGUUACCUGUGACUUUCGUGAUGAGAGGUAGAUUGUCUAGAGGGUACUUUAUUGUUACAGUAGGAUAGCUCGAGAGGGAAUCCUCUAUAUCGGUAUUAGAACAGCUUAUUAGGUUGCCAUAGGUAUCUUCUCGAGAAGGGUCGAGGGUCCUGUUCGGUUAUCCUUUAAGUUUAGCAUCAUAAGACCCCAGUUUCCACAAUUAGUUCCAUAACCGAUAGAAGUUGUCAUACAUGUGUAGGAUUCUGACCAAGGUAGUGUACUUCUCAUCUCUGAUCGUUUCUUAAGUCCUCAGUCUUAGUUUGUGUCCCCUUCCGCUUAAGUUAAUUUAGUUAAUUAAUUUAAUUUAAAUCGCAAUUUUAGAAUAUUUAGAAAAUCCCCCAGACAACAAAACAAUUAAGUACCGUUAGGUUAGAGUCACUCUAGUCAGAGUCUAGUAAACGUAGUAGUCAGUAGAAUCUCGUGGGUUCGAUACUCGGACUUAUUUAGGCUAUACUACACCGAUCAGUACACUUGUCGGUUAUGUGGUCAAGGUUUAGAGAGUCUUAGUUAUAAAUUUAAAACUUAGAGAGUCUAGUUUAGGGUUUGAUUUUAGUUAAUUUAAUUAGAUCACUUUUAGCACAUCAGGAAGCUUGUAAAAGAAGACGGGUUCUUACUUGAGUUGGGUCAUUAUGUGGGGUUGAGUUGAUUGUGAGAUUAAAUUAAUCAGCAAGUUGUUUUGAGUGAGUUGGUUGGGGGCAAGCAACGGGUAAGUGUGGGAAUGUGACGGGUGGACCGUAGAACAACCCUAAUUGUUAUAAUUAUAAUGAAAAUCAUAUGUUUAAGUGUGUUAUUUUAAGGAGUUGGAUGACUACAGUGUGCUUUGUUAUGUUAGGUAAAAGAGGCGGAAAAGACGAAAAGAAAGGAAGUAUGAUGAAGUGCGAAAGUUGAAGUGGAUGAAGAAGACAAGUUGGGCAAAACUGGGUGCUACCGUAGCUUACGGUAGCACCCGUAAGCUACGGUAGGCACCAAUUCAGAAAAUCUCCACCGUAGCUCAGAAGGUUCCUACUGUAAAGACUUUGAAGCCACCGUAAGCUACGUUGCCAUCGUUGUUUAUGGUGGAGGCAAGACGCAAAACUUUGUUUUCAUUAUAGUAGUUGGUAUGGAGUGACUCUUGGGUAUCUUUUUCAUUAUUCUCAUUUCAGAACUUGUUAGAGGCGAAAUUAGGGUUGCAAAACAAGAUUUUGGGUGUUUCUAUUAUUGCUUUAUCAUUUUUAAUUCAUUUGAACAGCGGAUUUGAAAUGAUGAUGAUCAAUCGAACAAUGUGUGGCUAAUUUCCUUUAUGUUUUUUCCCGGAUUAUUCCUUUUUCUAAACCAUCAGUUCUUGGUGCCAUAG
RNAcentral lists this long non-coding RNA (2051 nucleotides) under Helianthus annuus (common sunflower). Its description in RNAcentral is "hypothetical non coding rna". The record is from RNAcentral. Lineage: Eukaryota; Viridiplantae; Streptophyta; Magnoliopsida; Asterales; Asteraceae.